This 22-nucleotide microRNA is filed under the name Mus musculus (house mouse). Its description in RNAcentral is "mmu-miR-17-3p". Its record names the gene mmu-miR-17-3p. Lineage: Eukaryota; Metazoa; Chordata; Mammalia; Rodentia; Muridae. The record is from miRBase by way of RNAcentral.
ACUGCAGUGAGGGCACUUGUAG